Molecule: long non-coding RNA, 2303 nt
Organism: Alligator mississippiensis (American alligator)
Lineage: Eukaryota; Metazoa; Chordata; Crocodylia; Alligatoridae
Exons: 3
Source: RefSeq, a predicted model, not a curated record
GGUGCUGCAGAAGCUGCCAGCCCAGGUCUGGGUUGACCUGGUGCCCAGCUGGCCUGCCAUUGCAAGGUGGGGUGGGAGAAUACUUCUUUAAUUAAAGCAUCUCCGAGAGCCACUCUAAUUAAAAGUGCCCUUGGUGUCUUAUAUCAGCAUCCCCAUGCUUCAAAAUGGCAGAGCAUGCAUAAAAAUGUCCUAGAUCAACUUCCUCAUUCACCUUUGUCAAGGUACCCUUGUCAACUGUGGUGGGCUUGCCGGUGGCAGCCUGGCGUACCAGCUUUGGAAAAGUUUGAAAUGAUUGGUGGGGUAUUUCCCCUUCCCCCACCAAUCAGGUAAAGGCAGGGGAGAGGCUUGCCCCACCCCUACUUCAGGGCAAGGCAAAGAGCCGGACCUGAGAUGGAACUAAUACCCCCUUUCUCUGAUUGGGCAGUUUCCAAUUUGGGGGUGGAGCCCCUGAAAGGAAUAAAAAGGCACACAGGCGGUUGCGUCGAAGGAUGGAGAAAAGGGCAAAGAAGAGCUGGCAGAGCUGGUGCCCCAGAAGAACCCGAAGCCUCUUUGUUGUGUGGGGAGAGGCAAAGUGGCCGUGUCCACCCCAGCCCCACCACGUGGGAGCACGAGAAGAGAUGAUAUAAAAGGCAAACCAUCAACUUUUAUGGAAACCACCCCUGAAUUAAAACAUCAUAUUAAGAAGAGGCUUCAGUUAUACUGAAAGCAGGGAUUGCUCAGCGAGAUUCCAAACCACAGUCACCCUUUGGAGAUAUCCUUGCUGAGGCUUGUAAAACCCUCUCUAAUGAAAGAGAGCUGAAGCUGUCUUCCUAAGGAGAACAAGAUCUGAAAUCCCAGAAAAGGUGAUCCUCAGCAGGUGGUGCACCUCAGUGCUGACCCUCAUGGCAGAGUGCUGGUGGCCACCCAGAGCUGCAGUCUGGUGGCGGCAAUUCCAGAUGGCACACUCAGUGCCAGCUCCAAGUGGCAGUGACCACAAACAGCGAUCCCAAGAGGCCGCAGAGACCCUGACCGGUAAUAGGCAGCUUACCUCAGCACUGACCCCAGAAUGGUGGAGACCUGGAUAGUGCUCCCAGAGCAACACUGGCAUCCCCAAAAUGGCAAUCAUUGAUGUGAUCCCCACCAGUAACCUGGAGAGAGACUCCCCGCCUUCCCCUGGACCGGGUAAAGUAGCAGCUCCCCGUGGUGGAGAUUUUUCAGAUGAAGACUGAAACUAAGAGACCCAGGGAGUCUGAGGUAUUUGAUAUUUUGAGGUGUUUAAUAGAUGGGGUGUGGUAUUUGAUGAGAUGUAGUUAUUUUCAUUCCCCUGUAAUACACUUGUACUCUCUGUUUGAUAACCAAAUUGCUUGCAAGUGGGGAAGUUAUUUUUUCAGAACCCCCAGUAACGGUUAUUUUUCCCAGGUUUCUGGUUGGGGGCUCAUGCCCCAAAUUCCCCAAAUUUGAACCCAGCCCUUCCUUGUAGUGCUAUCCUGGGCCUGGCAGAAGAGUUACAUUAGUGUCUAGGCUAGAUUGUACACAAUAAACCUGGCCAAAUUCUUUGUCACUAACAACUAAAACCUGCAGUUUCUUUCUUGUAACAGUGAGUUUGUUAAGGGGACAGUAUCACAGAUGGUAUCCUGACAACACACACACACACACACACACCAUGGAAACUGAGGGAGCCCAAUGUGACCAGUAAUACCCAACCCUCAAACACCACCAAUGCAGUUAGAUAACAACACUGAUGAAGUCCACCCUGACAACACUGGUGACUCUGGUGACCUACAGAUGUAGCUUAGAUAUGGGAGAAACCAGUGAUGACACAUAGGGGGUGCACUUGGGUGCAUGUGCACCCCCUGAGAUCAGCUGUGCACCCCAUGGAAGUGCCAGCCGCGAAACCAAAACACUUCUAGUUUUGCUGCUGGCUCGGUGAUUGGCUGCUGGAGGACCACCCCCAUCGGGGAUCUGGUGCCCUGCAGACUCGGGAGGCAUCAGUCGCCCAUGGGAGAAACAUCCAGUGAACUAGCAAAUGUGUUUGGAUUAAUGACUAAAUCCAAAACUACAGGUGACAGCAAUCUGGGGGAAGUAGAGAAGUCACACAGCAGGUUCUCUUAUUAUGUUUAGGCCUUUGUCAUUACAUACCUCUUCUUCAGACCCUGCAGCAAAAUAACUGCUCCUCCUAUCCUUCCCAUCCCUCAGAAGAACUGACAUGCCUUUCCCUUUGCUAAUGCUAAGUUUGUUAAUGCUGUCCCAAGAUGGGUCAAAAGGAAGUAUCUGGAAAGUGCUGAGUGAUUUCUUUCUCUUCCCUCCCUUGCUCUCCCCUCCCU